GACGAACGCUGGCGGCGUGCUUAACACAUGCAAGUCGAACGAUGACGACCGAGCUUGCUCGGUCUGAUUAGUGGCGAACGGGUGAGUAACACGUGAGCAACCUGCCCUUCACUCUGGGAUAACCUCGGGAAAUCGGGGCUAAUGCCGGAUAUGAGCUCCUGUCGCAUGGCGGGUGUUGGAAAGUUUUUCGGUGAAGGAUGGGCUCGCGGCCUAUCAGUUUGUUGGUGAGGUAGUGGCUCACCAAGGCGAUGACGGGUAGCCGGCCUGAGAGGGCGACCGGCCACACUGGGACUGAGACACGGCCCAGACUCCUACGGGAGGCAGCAGUGGGGAAUAUUGCACAAUGGGCGAAAGCCUGAUGCAGCGACGCCGCGUGAGGGAUGACGGCCUUCGGGUUGUAAACCUCUUUCAGCAGGGAAGAAGCGAAAGUGACGGUACCUGCAGAAGAAGCGCCGGCUAACUACGUG
Molecule: ribosomal RNA, 467 nt
Filed under: uncultured bacterium
Lineage: Bacteria
Description: partial 16S ribosomal RNA
Rfam family: Bacterial small subunit ribosomal RNA
Source: RNAcentral